Molecule: ribosomal RNA, 256 nt
Filed under: uncultured bacterium
Lineage: Bacteria
Description: partial 16S ribosomal RNA
Rfam family: Bacterial small subunit ribosomal RNA
Source: RNAcentral
UACAGAGGUCUCAAGCGUUGUUCGGAUUCAUUGGGCGUAAAGGGUGCGUAGGCGGCGUGGUAAGUCGGAUGUGAAAUCUCGGAGCUUAACUCCGAAACUGCAUUCGAUACUGCCGUGCUUGAGGACUGGAGAGGAGACUGGAAUUUACGGUGUAGCGGUGAAAUGCGUAGAUAUCGUAAGGAAGACCAGUGGCGAAGGCGGGGUCUCUGGACAGUUCCUGACGCUGAGGCACGAAGGCCAGGGGGAGCAAACGGGG